RNAcentral lists this ribosomal RNA (551 nucleotides) under Zeus faber (John dory). RNAcentral describes it as "partial 16S ribosomal RNA". It matches the Rfam family "Bacterial large subunit ribosomal RNA", at positions 1845 to 2596 of the family's 2925-position model. Lineage: Eukaryota; Metazoa; Chordata; Actinopteri; Zeiformes; Zeidae. The record is from RNAcentral.
AUAAGAGGUCCCGCCUGCCCUGUGACUUAAAGUUUAACGGCCGCGGUAUUUUGACCGUGCAAAGGUAGCGCAAUCACUUGUCUUUUAAAUGAAGACCUGUAUGAAUGGCAUCACGAGGGCUUAGCUGUCUCCUUUUUCAAGUCAAUGAAAUUGAUCUCCCCGUGCAGAAGCGGGGAUAAUAAUAUAAGACGAGAAGACCCUAUGGAGCUUUAGACCUAAUGCAGUCCACGAAUAAUACUUUUGAUGAAAAAAGAAAAGCUCAAUGGCUCCUGCACGCCUGUCUUUGGUUGGGGCGACCGCGGGGAAAAAUAAAACCCCCAUGAGGAUUGAGAGUUCUACUCCUAAAACCAAGAGCCACAGCUCUAAGUAACAGAAAUUCUGACCUAAAUGAUCCGGGAAACCGAUCAACGAACCGAGUUACCCUAGGGAUAACAGCGCAAUCCCCUUCCAGAGCCCAUAUCGACAAGGGGGUUUACGACCUCGAUGUUGGAUCAGGACAUCCUAAUGGUGCAGCCGCUAUUAAGGGUUCGUUUGUUCAACGAUUAAAGUCC